CGUCGUUUACCAUGUUGCAAGAAACGAUAUCAGAUAUGGUGUUUUAGUUGUUAGUUGCUAUGGUCAAAUGAGAAGGCAUCACUUCACUAGGUUCAAUUUCAGAUGAAAACAUGUCCACGGGUCUGCGUAGCAGUCUUCUCCACUUGCCUUAGGUAGCAACCAAAGUUUGUUUCCAGUUUUUAGAGAAAAAAUAAUUUGUUUUUGACCCCGAGAAAAAAAAUUGUGUGUUUCAACCUUAGCUGACACUAUAUAUAAUGCUAAAAUUGAAAGAAAAAAAAAAUGUUUUCGACUUGUCGCAAAAAAAAAUUGUCCAGAAAAAAAUCCAUAGCCCUUCUCUCCCCCCCUCCCCCCUCCCCCGAAAAUCAAAUGCAAAUGGUUGCUGCCUUGGCCGAUGACGCCGACUUUUUUUAAGAACACAAGUUAACUUGAAUGAAAGACCAGGC
Molecule: long non-coding RNA, 443 nt
Filed under: Mytilus galloprovincialis (Mediterranean mussel)
Lineage: Eukaryota; Metazoa; Mollusca; Bivalvia; Mytilida; Mytilidae
Source: RNAcentral